AACGCACAUUGCGCCCCCUGGCAUUCCGGGGGGCAUGCCUGUCCGAGCGUCAUUUCUGCCCUCAAGCGCGGCUUGUGUGUUGGGUGUGGUCCCCCUGGAGCCAGGGGGACCUGCCCGAAAGGCAGCGGCGACGCCCCGCCUAGGUCCUCGAGCGAAUGGGGCUUUGUCACCCGCUCGGGAGGGGCCUGCGGGCGUUGGUCAUCCACCAUACAGUUUCCACGGUUGACCUCGGAUCAGGUAGGAGUUACCCGCUGAACUUAA
This 261-nucleotide unclassified non-coding RNA is filed under the name uncultured Talaromyces. Its description in RNAcentral is "sequence contains ITS2". The record is from RNAcentral. Lineage: Eukaryota; Fungi; Ascomycota; Eurotiomycetes; Eurotiales; Trichocomaceae.